GAUGAACGCUGGCGGCGUGCCUAAUACAUGCAAGUCGAGCGAACGGACGAGAAGCUUGCUUUUCUGAUGUUAGCGGCGGACGGGUGAGUAACACGUGGAUAACCUACCUAUAAGACUGGGAUAACUUCGGGAAACCGGAGCUAAUACCGGAUAAUAUUUUGAACCGCAUGGUUCAAAAGUGAAAGACGGUCUUGCUGUCACUUAUAGAUGGAUCCGCGUUGCAUUAGCUAGUUGGUAAGGUAACGGCUUACCAAGGCAACGAUGCAUAGCCGACCUGAGAGGGUGAUCGGCCACACUGGAACUGAGACACGGUCCAGACUCCUACGGGAGGCAGCAGUAGGGAAUCUUCCGCAAUGGGCGAAAGCCUGACGGAGCAACGCCGCGUGAGUGAUGAAGGUCUUCGGAUCGUAAAACUCUGUUAUUAGGGAAGAACAUAUGUGUAAGUAACUGUGCACAUCUUGACGGUACCUAAUCAGAAAGCCACGGCUAACUACGUG
RNAcentral lists this ribosomal RNA (497 nucleotides) under uncultured bacterium. RNAcentral's name for it is "partial 16S ribosomal RNA". It matches the Rfam family "Bacterial small subunit ribosomal RNA", at positions 28 to 507 of the family's 1533-position model. The record is from RNAcentral.